This 72-nucleotide transfer RNA is filed under the name Saccoglossus kowalevskii. RNAcentral's name for it is "tRNA-Asp". It matches the Rfam family "tRNA". From Rfam's summary of the family: Transfer RNA (tRNA) molecules are approximately 80 nucleotides in length. Their secondary structure includes four short double-helical elements and three loops (D, anti-codon, and T loops). Lineage: Eukaryota; Metazoa; Hemichordata; Enteropneusta; Harrimaniidae. The record is from RNAcentral.
UCCUCGAUAGUAUAGUGGUGAGUAUCUCCGCCUGUCACGCGGAAGGCCGGGGUUCAAUUCCCCGUCCUGGAG